Non-coding RNA from Podarcis lilfordi (Lilford's wall lizard), 76 nucleotides. NCBI's taxonomy places the organism in Eukaryota, Metazoa, Chordata, Lepidosauria, Squamata, Lacertidae. The record is from the annotation of a GenBank genome assembly.
GAGCUCAGUUGGUAGAGCAUGAAACUCUUAAUCUCAGGGACAUGGGUUCAAGCCACAAACUGGGCAAAGGAUUGCA